CUCUCCCAAGCGUCAACAAUAAUCCAUGAUGAUAUCCGAGUCACCAGGCAUUCCUUCUAACUGCUUUUCUCAUCAAGAGGCAGUCAUCUAGGAAGUGUGAAAUAUGGGCUUUGUUUGUGGGCUAAUAUACUUUGAUUUCACCUCCUGAGAAAUUCUUUGUGCGCCACGGGUGGUGCAGAAAAUUCAACAUAGAGUAUAUCAUCUU
Molecule: long non-coding RNA, 205 nt
Filed under: Elaeis guineensis (African oil palm)
Lineage: Eukaryota; Viridiplantae; Streptophyta; Magnoliopsida; Arecales; Arecaceae
Description: long non-coding RNA (EGUI_LNC001547)
Source: RNAcentral